RNAcentral lists this ribosomal RNA (502 nucleotides) under uncultured bacterium. RNAcentral's name for it is "partial 16S ribosomal RNA". It matches the Rfam family "Bacterial small subunit ribosomal RNA", at positions 29 to 507 of the family's 1533-position model. The record is from RNAcentral.
AGCGAACGCUGGCGGCGUGCCUAACACAUGCAAGUCGAACGUGAAAGGGAGCACUCCCAAGUAAAGUGGCGUACGGGUGAGUAACACGUAGGUAAUCUACCCCAGAAUCUGGAAUAACCGGCCGAAAGGCUGGCUAAUACUGGAUAGAGCGACGGAAUCCGUAAUUGGGUUUUUCGGGAAAGGGAGCCUGUAAAACGGCCUUCGUUCUGGGAUGAGCCUGCGUCCCAUCAGCUAGUUGGUGAGGUAAAAGCUUACCAAGGCAAUGACGGGUAGCUGGUCUGAGAGGACGAUCAGCCACACUGGAACUGAAACACGGUCCAGACUCCUACGGGAGGCAGCAGUGGGGAAUCUUGCGCAAUGGACGAAAGUCUGACGCAGCAACGCCGCGUGAGGGAAGAAGGCCUUCGGGUUGUAAAGCUCUGUCGAGUGGGACGAAAAUGCUUGGAGUUCACAGCUCCAGGAACUGACGGUACCACUAAAGGAAGCACCGGCUAACUCCGUG